GGGUUCUAUUCCCAANCCGUGUAUACAUACCUUUGUUGCUUUGGCAGGCCGCUUUCGGGCGUUGGCUCNGGNCAACCGNGCCUGCCGNAGGACCCANACUCGUUUGUUUAGUGAUGUCUGANUACUAUAUAAUAGUUAAAACUUUCAACAACGGAUCUCUUGGUUCUGGCAUCGAUGAANAACGCAGCGAAAUGCGAUAAGUAAUGUGAAUUGCAGAAUUCAGUGAAUCAUCGAAUCUUUGAACGCACAUUGCGCCCCUUGGUAUUCCGAGGGGCAUGCCUGUUCNAGCGUCAUUAUAACCACUCAAGCCCUGGCUUGNUCUUGGGGUUCGCGGUCCGCGGCCCUUAAACUCANUGGCGGUGCCAUCUGGCUCUAAGCGCAGUAAUUCUCUCGCUAUAGUGUCUAGGUGGNUGCUUGCCAUAAUCCCCCAUUUUUUUU
Molecule: unclassified non-coding RNA, 438 nt
Filed under: uncultured fungus
Lineage: Eukaryota; Fungi
Description: sequence contains ITS1, 5.8S rRNA gene, ITS2
Rfam family: 5.8S ribosomal RNA (bases 140-293)
Source: RNAcentral